Molecule: long non-coding RNA, 298 nt
Filed under: Malus domestica (apple)
Lineage: Eukaryota; Viridiplantae; Streptophyta; Magnoliopsida; Rosales; Rosaceae
Description: long non-coding RNA (MDOM_LNC007900)
Source: RNAcentral
CCCUUACAUUUUACCACAUGUAGCUAAACAAACUGGAAUAGUAAAACAAGCUUUUCUAACCAUACACAGAGAGAUAUAUAAUUAACUAAUAGAGAAACUGUCUCCCGGUAUAUGUCUGACCAAAUGACCAAUUAGGAGGGGCAACAUUGUAAGAAACCAGUCUGCGGCCAUCACUGGUGGUCACAAGAAAGGAGAGGCUUUGUCCAUUGAGGUAAGAAUUGCUCUGCCAGUUUUGGCCCCAGUUUCUUGACAUUGCUUGCCACCGAGUCCUCGAGCCCUUGAUGGCCACAGAUUGCAC